GCAGGCCUAACACAUGCAAGUCGAGCGGCAGCGGGAAAGUCGCUUGCUACUUUUGCCGGCGAGCGGCGGACGGGUGAGUAAUGCCUGGGGAUCUGCCCAGUCGAGGGGGAUAACUACUGGAAACGGUAGCUAAUACCGCAUACGCCCUACGGGGGAAAGCAGGGGACCUUCGGGCCUUGCGCGAUUGGAUGAACCCAGGUGGGAUUAGCUAGUUGGUGAGGUAAUGGCUCACCAAGGCGACGAUCCCUAGCUGGUCUGAGAGGAUGAUCAGCCACACUGGAACUGACACGUAGACUACGAGGCAAGCAUGGGGAAUAUUGCACAAUGGGGGAAACCCUGAUGCAGCAUGCCGCGUGUGUGAGAGGCCGGGUUGUAAAGCACUUUCAGCGAGGAGGAAAGG
Molecule: ribosomal RNA, 400 nt
Filed under: Aeromonas veronii
Lineage: Bacteria; Pseudomonadati; Pseudomonadota; Gammaproteobacteria; Aeromonadales; Aeromonadaceae
Description: bacterial SSU rRNA
Rfam family: Bacterial small subunit ribosomal RNA
Source: RNAcentral